UACGUAGGGUGCGAGCGUUAAUCGGAAUUACUGGGCGUAAAGCGUGCGCAGGCGGUUCGUUAUGUCCGUUGUGAAAGCCCCGGGCUCAACCUGGGAAUGGCAAUGGAAACUGGCGGGCUAGAGUGUGGCAGAGGGGGGUGGAAUUCCGCGUGUAGCAGUGAAAUGCGUAGAGAUGUGGAGGAAUACCGAUGGCGAAGGCAGCCCCCUGGGAUAACACUGACGCUCAUGCACGAAAGCGUGGGGAGCAAACAGG
Molecule: ribosomal RNA, 253 nt
Filed under: uncultured bacterium
Lineage: Bacteria
Description: partial 16S ribosomal RNA
Rfam family: Bacterial small subunit ribosomal RNA
Source: RNAcentral